UUGGAGGGCAAGUCUGGUGCCAGCAGCCGCGGUAAUUCCAGCUCCAAUAGCGUAUAUUAAAGUUGUUGCAGUUAAAAAGCUCGUAGUUGAAUUUCGGGAUGAUCAGGUUGGUCGUGCCAUUGGUAUGUACUAGCUUUGGUGGUUCCUACCUCUUGAAGAACCGUAAUGUCAUUAACUUGGUGUUGCGGGGAAUCAGGACUGUUACUUUGAAAAAAUUAGAGUGUUUAAAGCAGGCAAACGCUUGAAUACAUUAGCAUGGAAUAAUGAAAUAGGACGUUUGAUCUUAUUUUGUUGGUUUCUAGGAUCGACGUAAUGAUUAAUAGGGAUAGUUGGGGGCAUUAGUAUCCAAUUGUCAGAGGUGAAAUUCUUGGAUUUAUUGAAGACUAACUACUGCGAAAGCAUUUGCCAAGGAUGUUUUCAUUAAUCAAGAACGAAAGUUAGGGGAUCGAAGACGAUCAGAUACCGUCGUAGUCUUAACCAUAAACUAUGCCGACUAGGGAUCGGAUGAUGUUAAUUUUUUAAUGACUCAUUCGGCGCCUUACGGGAAAC
RNAcentral lists this ribosomal RNA (549 nucleotides) under uncultured Glomus. RNAcentral describes it as "SSU rRNA". It matches the Rfam family "Eukaryotic small subunit ribosomal RNA", at positions 548 to 1098 of the family's 1831-position model. Lineage: Eukaryota; Fungi; Glomeromycota; Glomeromycetes; Glomerales; Glomeraceae. The record is from RNAcentral.